ACCUUGCUGGCUCAGUUGUAAAGCAUGUGACUCUAGAUCUCAGGAUUGUGAGUUCAAGCCCCAUGUUAGGUG
This 72-nucleotide transfer RNA is filed under the name Felis catus (domestic cat). It matches the Rfam family "tRNA". Rfam says of the family: Transfer RNA (tRNA) molecules are approximately 80 nucleotides in length. The record is from Rfam by way of RNAcentral. Lineage: Eukaryota; Metazoa; Chordata; Mammalia; Carnivora; Felidae.